Molecule: ribosomal RNA, 510 nt
Filed under: uncultured Acaulospora
Lineage: Eukaryota; Fungi; Glomeromycota; Glomeromycetes; Diversisporales; Acaulosporaceae
Description: SSU rRNA
Rfam family: Eukaryotic small subunit ribosomal RNA
Source: RNAcentral
AGCAGCCGCGGUAAUUCCAGCUCCAAUAGCGUAUAUUAAAGUUGUUGCAGUUAAAAAGCUCGUAGUUGAAUUUCGGAAUUUAUCGGUUGGUCGGGCUUCACUGUCCGCACUGGCCUGAUGGAUUCCUACCUUCUGAAUAACCAGCAUGCUAUUAAUUUAGUGCGUUGGGGAGGCAGAGCUAUUACCUUGAAAAAAUUAGAGUGCUUAAAGCAGGCUUACGCUUGAAUAGAUUAGCAUGGAAUAAUAAAAUAGGACGGCUUGGUUCUAUUUUGUUGGUUUCUAGGAUCACCGUAAUGAUUAAUAGGGAUAGUUGGGGGCAUUAGUAUUCAACUGUCAGAGGUGAAAUUCUUGGAUUUAUUGAAGACUAACUUCUGCGAAAGCAUUUGCCAAGGAUGUUUUCAUUAAUCAAGAACGAAAGUUAGGGGAUCGAAGACGAUCAGAUACCGUCGUAGUCUUAACCAUAAACUAUGCCGACUAGGGAUCGGACGAUGUUAAUUUUUUAAUGACUCG